RNAcentral lists this ribosomal RNA (113 nucleotides) under Vibrio sp. T9. RNAcentral's name for it is "partial 23S ribosomal RNA". The stretch from base 1 to 95 matches the Rfam family "Bacterial large subunit ribosomal RNA", at positions 2831 to 2925 of the family's 2925-position model. The record is from RNAcentral. Lineage: Bacteria; Pseudomonadati; Pseudomonadota; Gammaproteobacteria; Vibrionales; Vibrionaceae.
AGGGUUGUCGUAGACUACGACGUUGAUAGGCAGGGUGUGUAAGCGUUGUGAGGCGUUGAGCUAACCUGUACUAAUUGCCCGUGAGGCUUAACCAUACAACACCCAAGGGGUUU